GUCUAUGGCCAUACCACCCUGAACGCGCCUUGAUCUUGUUUGAUCUUGGAAGCUAAGCAGGGUCAGGCCUGGUUAGUACUAGAAUAGGAAACGCUUGAAGGAAAAAAAUGAAGAGAAAAAUAUGUAUGCUAUAAGGC
Molecule: ribosomal RNA, 137 nt
Filed under: Heterocephalus glaber (naked mole-rat)
Lineage: Eukaryota; Metazoa; Chordata; Mammalia; Rodentia; Bathyergidae
Source: RNAcentral